Molecule: long non-coding RNA, 2574 nt
Organism: Eubalaena glacialis (North Atlantic right whale)
Lineage: Eukaryota; Metazoa; Chordata; Mammalia; Artiodactyla; Balaenidae
Exons: 4
Source: RefSeq, a predicted model, not a curated record
CGGGCACCCGGAGACAGCCGAGGCGGGGGUCUCCCCCGGGGCCUGAGACUAGCGGAAGACGUCCUGGCCCGGCCAGAGCCGCUGUCUGAUUGACGAGGCCCGCUUGGGAGCGCGGACGUGCCACGCAGACUCGAGGAUCGCCCCCGGCCUCCUGGGCAGUGAUCAGCGCGGACCCUGGGCCAACGCGGGAGCAGGCCGGAGUACCAUCCCCCCCCAACCCCCAUUUUAGAACAUCCUUCAGAGGGCUUCUUUGACCUCGGCUUGAACUCCUUCAGGGCCGGCGAGAUCACUCCUUCCACCACCGGAGGGAGAAGAGGCAAAAUGAAUUUGCCAGCCCUGAAUUCAUUCUCAAGGCUACAAUAAUCUGACAGCCAGCAAACUCAGCCUGAAUUCCUGAGGGCUCAGAGGACUGCAGCUCAGGUCCAAAGGGGCUGGGGGACGGAGGGAGGAUGCCGGGAGCCUGCUUGAUUUUCCCAUGGGAAAUUCUGCCUCGCUAUGCCAUUAGGCACUUCUUUCUGGGCCUCAGUCCUUCGACCUGUCACAUGGACUGUUACCGCGCUGCUACUUUGCUACUGCUCUCACACAGGUGUCAGCUGAGCGUCCCCUGGGGAGGGUGGAUGCUAUGAAAGACUUCCAGACCUCUAGGGACACCAGGGAGGCACGGUCCCAGCACAUUCCUGUGGGAGGGAGCCCCAACCCCUCGUCAUCAAAGUGGCCCAGGUUCAUUAAGUUGGGACAUGAGGGUAGCCUGAGAAACCCUUGAAGGCCUGAUCCAGGGCUGGAAGGUGGCAAUUCCACUUGCUGAAAGCUCCUGUGCCCUGAGGGCUACCUCCUUUCUGGCGCUGGAGGGGGCGGAGAAGAUCUCAGAGCCUCAACAUCUCCCCUCCUCACCUGGACAGCAGUUGCCUGGCCUCAAGGCUCAUACCUCUUGCCCUGACCCUGUCAUGUAGCCAUUCUGGGUGGCUUCCAGAAUUGUCAGCAUUAUGUACUUACUGUUCUUCUCAUGCUCUGCCUACCUCCUGGGACGCACCCCUCCCAACCUUCCAGGCCACAUCUACAGCCACCUGCUGGGAAGCCUCUUCUGAUUACCUCUAGCAGAUGUGCUGCCUACUGGUCUCAACCCCAUAUGCUGCUGUCCCCAUAGCAUUGUCAUCGUUAUAGCAAUUACUGGUUAAGUUCUUACUAUGUGCCAGGCACUGUGUAUAAACUCCUCCAGUCCUCACUUGAGCUGAUUAUUAGGAUUAACGUCUCCAUUUUACAGAUGAGGAAAUUGAGGCACAGAGAGUUUCAUUUGCCUGGUGUGACACCUCACUAGUCAGGGACGUUAUUUGGUAUGCGCCCAUCUCCCCUCCCUGGGGACUGCAGGCUGUAGGAUGGCUCACUGCUCUAUCCCAUCACCCAGCAUAGCUGCUGAGUGACUGAUGGCUGGUCAAGUGCCGUGAGAGAUGCGGGGGGCACACAAGGAUGAACCAGACCCAACCUUCUGGGAGCUCACAGGCUAUCAGGAAGGACUACCCACACCAAAUGCCACUCUAAGAGUUUGGGGGAAAGAGACUAAUCGUCACUGUGUGAGGCCUGGAAGGCCGGCUUUGUUGGGGGCCUUGGAGAGACCAUAGACCAGAGUGAGGCGUGGACCUGCCCAAGGUCACACAGCAAGUUUGAGGCAGCAGUGGGGCUGAGACCCCGGGCUGCCAGUAUGACGUGCCUUCUUGCACCUUGCAGCCAGCUGUAGGGCCCCUGCGUCUGUGCUUUUUCAAGGACACAUGGCCUCAGACGCCUCCAUGAUGCUGAGCUGUUCAGUGAGUGGCUCCGGUCCUUCUCUCUCCUCUAUUAAAAUUUUAAAAAAAGAAGAAAGAAAGAAAGAAAGAAAUCCAGGCAUUGUUCCUGACUGCAGCUGGUGCCAACUAGAAUCCCGCCGAACAGAAUGGAGCGAGAGCCCUGCCGCCCAGGGGCCUGGCUGCUGACACAGGGCCUUUCUCUUUUGCUUCCCAAGGGGGGCCCAGGCUGAUGCUCCAUGGGCACCCUCUCCACCUGCCUCCCUGGCCACAGCCCUGAGCCUCCUGCUGCCCUCGCCCUCUUUGCGAAAAUCCGAUGCCACUUGGGAGGGCCAUUAGCCCCCUGCCUUCCUUCCUCAUCUCCCCACAGCCUGGAGUGAGCUGGCCCUCCCUCCCUGACAGCCCGGCCCCUCACCCUACCGGGAGGGGCCUGCGAUACCUCUCUGGGAGAGUGGCAGAAAUCCUUUCUCCAUGGAAUCAUUUGGAACACUGGUUCGAUUUCAGAACAUACCAGGAUUUUCCAUCUUCCCUGCCCCCAACCUGACUUGGCAGGAACUCCAGCCUGGAAAUGCUGAGCUACUUCUCUGGGGUGUCAUACGACAAGGGAGACCUUUGGCCCCAUGAAGCCCUUCAGAGAAUUGGAGGAAUUGACCCUGUCUCCCCGCGAGAAGGGUAGUUCCUGGGCCAAGUGGGCUAUUUGUGUACGCAGCUUAUCUCGCUGCCAGACUGAGAGGCAGCGCGGGCCUGUUGAAAGAGCGUGGACUUUGGAGCCGCACGACCUGGCCCUGCAUCCCAGCCC